RNAcentral lists this ribosomal RNA (255 nucleotides) under uncultured bacterium. RNAcentral describes it as "partial 16S ribosomal RNA". The record is from RNAcentral.
CUGCUGCCUCCCGUAGGAGUCUGGGCCGUGUCUCAGUCCCAAUGUGGCCGUCCACCCUCUCAGGCCGGCUACUGAUCGCUGCCUUGGUAGGCCGUUACCCUGCCAACUAGCUAAUCAGACGCGGAUCCAUCUUACACCACCGGAGUUUUUCACACUCCCCCAUGCGGGGCUGUGCGCUUAUGCGGUAUUAGCACCUAUUUCUAAGUGUUAUCCCCCAGUGUAAGGCAGGUUAUCCACGCGUUACUCACCCGUCCG